This 368-nucleotide ribosomal RNA is filed under the name uncultured organism. RNAcentral's name for it is "bacterial SSU rRNA". It matches the Rfam family "Bacterial small subunit ribosomal RNA", at positions 526 to 896 of the family's 1533-position model. The record is from RNAcentral.
CGGAGGGUGCAAGCGUUAUCCGGAUUCACUGGGUUUAAAGGGUGCGUAGGCGGGCAGGUAAGUCAGUGGUGAAAUCCUAGAGCUUAACUCUAGAACUGCCAUUGAUACUAUCUGUCUUGAAUAUUGUGGAGGUAAGCGGAAUAUGUCAUGUAGCGGUGAAAUGCUUAGAUAUGACAUAGAACACCUAUUGCGAAGGCAGCUUACUACGCAUAUAUUGACGCUGAGGCACGAAAGCGUGGGGAUCAAACAGGAUUAGAUACCCUGGUAGUCCACGCCCUAAACGAUGAUUACUCGACAUUGGCGAUACACAGUCAGUGUCUGAGCGAAAGCAUUAAGUAAUCCACCUGGGAAGUACGACCGCAAGGUUG